RNAcentral lists this ribosomal RNA (253 nucleotides) under uncultured bacterium. RNAcentral's name for it is "partial 16S ribosomal RNA". It matches the Rfam family "Bacterial small subunit ribosomal RNA", at positions 524 to 776 of the family's 1533-position model. The record is from RNAcentral.
UACGUAGGGUGCGAGCGUUAAUCGGAAUUACUGGGCGUAAAGGGUGCGCAGGCGGUUAUAUAAGACAGAUGUGAAAUCCCCGGGCUCAACCUGGGAACUGCGUUUGUAACUGUAUGACUAGAGUACGGUAGAGAGGGGUGGAAUUCCUGGUGUAGCAGUGAAAUGCGUAGAUAUCAGGAGGAACAUCGAUGGCGAAGGCAGCCCCUUGGACCUGUACUGACGCUCAUGCACGAAAGCGUGGGGAGCAAACAGG